Molecule: ribosomal RNA, 253 nt
Filed under: uncultured Oscillospira sp.
Lineage: Bacteria; Bacillati; Bacillota; Clostridia; Eubacteriales; Oscillospiraceae
Description: partial 16S ribosomal RNA
Rfam family: Bacterial small subunit ribosomal RNA
Source: RNAcentral
UACGUAGGGGGCAAGCGUUAUCCGGAUUUACUGGGUGUAAAGGGAGCGUAGACGGUGAUGCAAGUCAGAAGUGAAAGCCCGGGGCUCAACUCCGGGACUGCUUUUGAAACUGUAUUUCUUGAGUGCUGGAGAGGCAAUCGGAAUUCCGUGUGUAGCGGUGAAAUGCGUAGAUAUACGGAGGAACACCAGUGGCGAAGGCGGAUUGCUGGACAGUAACUGACGCUGAGGCGCGAAAGCGUGGGGAGCAAACAGG